GAUCCUGGCUUAGGAUGAACGCUGGCGGCGUGCCUAACACAUGCAAGUCGAACGAAGCACUUUCCCGAGGAAGAGGCGUGCUGCACAAAUCGGACUCAUUUAAAGUGACUUAGUGGCGGACGGGUGAGUAACGCGUGGGUAACCUGCCUUAUACAGGGGGAUAACAGUUAGAAAUGACUGCUAAUACCGCAUAAGCGCACGGUAUCGCAUGAUACAGUGUGAAAAGCGUAACGGUAUAAGAUGGACCCGCGUCUGAUUAGCCAGUUGGUGAGGUAACGGCUCACCAAAGCGACGAUCAGUAGCCGGCCUGAGAGGGUGAACGGCCACAUUGGGACUGAGACACGGCCCAAACUCCUACGGGAGGCAGCAGUGGGGGAUAUUGCACAAUGGGGGAAACCCUGAUGCAGCGACGCCGCGUGAGUGAUGAAGUAUUUCGGUAUGUAAAGCUCUAUCAGCAGGGAAGAAAAUGACGGUACCUGACUAAGAAGCCCCGGCUAACUACGUGCCAGCCGCGGC
Molecule: ribosomal RNA, 516 nt
Filed under: uncultured bacterium
Lineage: Bacteria
Description: bacterial SSU rRNA
Rfam family: Bacterial small subunit ribosomal RNA
Source: RNAcentral